This 207-nucleotide ribosomal RNA is filed under the name uncultured bacterium. Its description in RNAcentral is "partial 16S ribosomal RNA". It matches the Rfam family "Bacterial small subunit ribosomal RNA", at positions 568 to 774 of the family's 1533-position model. The record is from RNAcentral.
UGCGUAGGCGGUUUGGUAAGUCAGAUGUGAAAUUCCUGGGCUCAACCGAGGAACUGCAUUUGAUACUGCCAGACUAGAGUACUAGAGAGGAGACUGGAAUUUACGGUGUAGCAGUGAAAUGCGUAGAUAUCGUAAGGAAGGCCAGUGGCGAAGGCGAGUCUCUGGACAGUAACUGACGCUGAGGCACGAAGGCUAGGGGAGCAAACG